UACGUAGGGGGGCAAGCGUUUGUCCGGAAUCAUUGGGCGUAAAGCGCGUGUAGGCGGUCCAGAUAGUCUGGUGUGAAAUCCCGGGGCUCAACCCCGGUCGGUCACUGGAUACUGCUGGACUUGAGUCCGGAAGAGGAGAGUGGAAUUCCUGGUGUAGCGGUGGAAUGCGCAGAUAGUCAGGAGGAACACCUAUGGCGAAGGCAGCUCUCUGGUACGUGACUGACGCUGAGACGCGAAAAGCGUGGGUAGCAAACAGG
RNAcentral lists this ribosomal RNA (257 nucleotides) under uncultured bacterium. RNAcentral describes it as "partial 16S ribosomal RNA". It matches the Rfam family "Bacterial small subunit ribosomal RNA", at positions 524 to 776 of the family's 1533-position model. The record is from RNAcentral.